Molecule: transfer RNA, 78 nt
Filed under: Candidatus Kuenenia stuttgartensis
Lineage: Bacteria; Pseudomonadati; Planctomycetota; Candidatus Brocadiia; Candidatus Brocadiales; Candidatus Brocadiaceae
Also listed under: 43 other names
Description: Candidatus Kuenenia stuttgartiensis (activated sludge metagenome) tRNA-Pro
Rfam family: tRNA
About the family: Transfer RNA (tRNA) molecules are approximately 80 nucleotides in length.
Source: RNAcentral
CGGGGCGUAGCGCAGUUUGGCUAGCGCGCCUGCCUUGGGAGCAGGAGGUCGGAGGUUCAAAUCCUCUCGCCCCGACCA